ACAGCAGUCGCCGCGGGAAUACGGAGGGUGCAAGCGUUAAUCGGAAUUACUGGGCGUAAAGCGCACGCAGGCGGUCUGACAAGUCAGAUGUGAAAUCCCCGGGCUUAACCUGGGAACUGCAUUUGAAACUGUCAGGCUGGAGUCUUGUAGAGGGGGGUGGAAUUCCAGGUGUAGCGGUGAAAUGCGUAGAGAUCUGGAGGAAUACCGGUGGCGAAGGCGGCCCCCUGGACAAAGACUGACGCUCAGGUGCGAAAGCGUGGGGAGCAAACAGGAUUAGAUACCCCGGUAGUCCCUGUCUCUUAUAC
Molecule: ribosomal RNA, 305 nt
Filed under: uncultured bacterium
Lineage: Bacteria
Description: partial 16S ribosomal RNA
Rfam family: Bacterial small subunit ribosomal RNA
Source: RNAcentral